Molecule: long non-coding RNA, 981 nt
Filed under: Sorghum bicolor (sorghum)
Lineage: Eukaryota; Viridiplantae; Streptophyta; Magnoliopsida; Poales; Poaceae
Description: long non-coding RNA (SBIC_LNC012478)
Source: RNAcentral
UAGGCUGGGAAUGCCCGAUCAACUUAAUUUGAGGUAAAGCAACCUCAACACAAGCACAUGGUUGGCACCAAUAAGGGAUAAAAGUGGGCAGAUGAAUUUUGAUCCACACUGACUCUGAAAGUCGUGGGUUCACCAUACCCAUCACCUACGUCCAGUUAAAAGGGAGUACCAAGCCUCUAGGGAGACUAUAGGGAAAAGAGUAUGAAAGGGCUACCUGACUCGACAAAACUCUGAAUCAAGUGUGAAGCCACAUGCCACCCUAAGAGGUGAUAACAAGGGCCAAAAAAACAUAAGCCUGCAAGGAUUAUUAGUUACACAAAGUUGAAGAGCUACCCUCUGAAUACAUUGAAAACAAAAUCCAAGAAGCAAAAUAAAAAGAGAGAAAGAAAAAGGAGACAUAGUCAAAUGUCUCGAAGCUCUCAAUAAUCAAAUGAAAUCAAGGUGUCAAGUGAACGAAGGAGGAGGGUAGCUAUUCAUCGUCCUCGGCAAAAGUAAAGGCAAAAAAAAGAAAUACCAUAACCAGUUUCCCCCAAACCAAUUCUAAAACUAUAGCCGUAUCCUGUAUUCCGUACUGGACAAAGGUAGAAGGUGUGAGGCACAUGACUGAAGGGAGGCUCGGAGAUAAUUUUUCUGACCUAAAGAGGUCCUAAUGAAGUGCUAAUCUCUCAACAUGUAUAUCAUGAGGAAACUAAACCUCAAGUGAAAGUUGUGUCGUUGACCUUUUAUGUCAAAAUACACCCUUGGAUGACGUCGCCGGAAGAUGCUUCAUAGCUUGGUGACUCAUGGGAAAGCCGACAUUUAAAAAAAAAACAUUGUUCUUAUUCUUUGGAAUACAAGAAGAACUCAAUGCAUGUCUAUAUUGACGCCCACCGUGGCUUAUGUGCCAAGAUGGCCCUUCACCCACAAAUUGGCCUAUACGUUAUUUGGCUAAAUUAUAUUUUGGCAGUACACCUACGGAGCUUCGGAUGUAUAUGCUAUUUA